UACGGGGGGGGCAAGCGUUGUUCGGAAUUACUGGGCGUAAAGGGCUCGUAGGUGGCCAACUAAGUCAGACGUGAAAUCCCUCGGCUUAACCGGGGAACUGCGUCUGAUACUGGAUGGCUAGAGAUUGGGAGAGGGAUGCGGAAUUCCAGGUGUAGCGGUGAAAUGCGCAGAUAUCAGGAGGAACACCAAUGGCGAAGGCAGCUCGCUGGGACGUGACUGACGCUGAGACGCGAAAGCGUGGGGAGCAAACAGG
Molecule: ribosomal RNA, 253 nt
Filed under: uncultured bacterium
Lineage: Bacteria
Description: partial 16S ribosomal RNA
Rfam family: Bacterial small subunit ribosomal RNA
Source: RNAcentral